Leptonychotes weddellii (Weddell seal) is the source of this 1409-nucleotide non-coding RNA. The record is from RefSeq and is a predicted model, not a curated record. Lineage: Eukaryota; Metazoa; Chordata; Mammalia; Carnivora; Phocidae.
GGUUAUGAGAUACUGAGGUUAAGAGAGCAAAUGCCAUUCUUUGCCAUUUCUGUAUUCUGAACAUUUAUAGGCUCCACACUCACCACAGAGGCCAACUCGGGGCUUAAACUCUCGACCCUGAGAUCAAGACCCCAGCUGAGAUCAAGAGUUGGAUGCUCAACCGACUGAGCCACCCAGGCACCCCUCGAUUUCACAUUUCUAAAAUUAUGCUUUUAAAUGGACUAACACUCCUAUAUAGUCAUAGCUCAUGAGCCUAUAAAAACACAAACAGGCAUUACAUAAUCCUGAAACACCUCACUUAUCUGAAGGCCAGACUGCUUUCUGGAAAAGUUGGGGAUCUAUACGUAAGUGAAAAGGCUCCUGGAGUUGUCUAAAGGGCUGAUCAAAAGCCCAUACAUUUUCAUAAGGGAGGUCCUCUGGCUAUUGCUCAGAGGUGACUUACUCUUGUUCACAAAGAAUUCUAACAAAAUUCAUUAUCUGGGAAAUGUUUCACACACCAGCUAGAUCUUCAAGGAUAAGCAGGAGUUCAUCCGACAGAGAAGCUGGGAAAAGGCCCCUUCCCUGCCUUUCCCAUGUCUCCAAAUUCCUCACUAUAUGCAAAUAUAGGCAAGCAUCUCCUCUGCAGGGGAAGAAACAUGUUCUCUUCUAUCCUUCUAAAUUCUGUAGCUGGCCUAAGAAUUAAACUGACAUAACACAGAUUAACAGGAGAAAAAAAGCCGAUUUUAAUAACACAUGCAUGUAUGAAAGCCCCAAAAGAUGUAAGAAAGAUAGGAGACUCAGAAGGCAGCCAAAUGAUUGAGGCUUAUAUACCACCCUGAGCUGAGGAAAGGGAUAGGGGCCUGGGCCUUCCAAUGGGGCGAAGGCAAUUCACUGGAAGCCAGAAGAGGAUGUUUGGUGUGCACCAAGGUUGCUCUGCCAGCCGCUGAGUCUCUGAGGUGAAAAAGUGAUCUCCCAUCACAGCUCUCUCUCCAGUACAGGCCCCCUUUCUAAUGUAAAUUUUCCUUACAAAAGGGUAACUUCUCUGAUUUUAGAGCUUCUCCUGUGUCUGCAGUUUCUCCAAAUAAUCAGCCCCAAAUAAUCCUGAUGCCAGAGGCUUAUUUUGGGGUGGCAUAUUCUGUACUCUUCUCCCCUCUUUAGAAUAAUUUUUUUUUUCCAUUUGUCAACUGCUGUACUUCCCCUCCAUGUGUUGAAUAGCACCUGAUACAUGGAUGGGCUCAACACAUUCUUGCUGAGUUAACUACUCAUCAAAGUCAACUAUGAGUUCUGCAGUAAAACCCGAUUAACACUUCCCAACGUUGUAUACAACCUUUGCUGUGGCAACUCUCCUGAGUUUCCUAGCCAAAACCUUCUCUGUCUCUUUCAUGGCUUUCCAUUCCAAUAUUCAUCAAGUAAAUGCCGAUGUUCCCCAA